AUGGCCGCCUCCUCCAGCGCCGCACCAACCAACCUCUCUGGUCAGGUCACCGAGAAGCUGACACGCACCAACUACAUCCUCUGGCGGACUCAAGUCAUGCCGCAGCUUCGUGGUGCUGGCUUCUACGGGUAUGUCGACGGCUCCAUGCCGGAGCCGGCCCGACUCGUCGUCACCAAGGACAAAGAAGGGAAGGAGGAGACUUCCCUGAACCCCCUUCAUCCGAUCUGGAUGCGCGAAGAGCAGCAGGUACUUGGCUACCUUCUGAAUAAUCUCUCCAAGGAGGUACUUGUGCAGGUCACCACGAUCGAUCAUGCGCAAGAUCUCUGGACAGCACUGGCGAACAUGUUCUCGUCCCAGUCUCUGUCACGCGUCAACAACAUCCAUGUCGCCCUCGCCAAUGCGCAGAAGGGGACGCAGCCCGUCGCCAGCUUCUUCGGGCACAUGUGCUCACUCUCAGAUGAGCUCGCGGCGGCUGGCAAGCCACUCGGGGACGGUGAACUCGUCUCCUACAUCAUCGCCGCCCUCGACAUGGAGUACCAGCCACUCGUCUCCGCGCUCGAUGCCCGCACCACGCCCGUCUCGCUUGACGAUCUGUUUGCUAUGAUCAGCAACUUUGAUCAGCGGGUUGCCCUCUAUCAAGGGGGCCACUCUGGCGGCGGCUUCAAGUCCUCCGCUAACGCGGCCAUGCGCGGCCAUGGCGGCGGCUCCCGUCCUUGA
Molecule: ribosomal RNA, 717 nt
Filed under: Triticum aestivum (bread wheat)
Lineage: Eukaryota; Viridiplantae; Streptophyta; Magnoliopsida; Poales; Poaceae
Description: partial small subunit ribosomal RNA
Source: RNAcentral